GAGCGGCGAACGGGUGAGUAACACAUCGGAACGGACCCCGUCGUGGGGGAUAACGAGUCGAAAGAUUCGCUAAUACCGCAUACGACCUGAGGGUGAAAGCGGGGGACCUGCGAGGGCCUCGCGCGAUGGGAGCGGCCGAUGUCCGAUUAGCUAGUUGGUGGGGUAAGAGCCUACCAAGGCGACGAUCGGUAGCUGGUCUGAGAGGAUGAUCAGCCACACUGGGACUGAGACACGCCCCAGACUCCUACGGGAGGCAGCAGUGGGGAAUUUUGGACAAUGGGCGCAAGCCUGAUCCAGCCAUUCCGCGUGAGUGAAGAAGGCCUUCGGGUUGUAAAGCUCUUUCGGCCGGGAAGAAAUCGGGCAGGUGAAUAAUCUGCCUGGAUGACGGUACCGGAAGAAGAAGCACCGGCUAACUACGUGCCAGCAGCCGCGGUAAUACGUAGGGUGCGAGCGUUAAUCGGAAUUACUGGGCGUAAAGCGUGCGCAGGCGGCUUUGUAAGACAGGUGUGAAAUCCCCGGGCUUGACCUGGGAAUGGCGCUUGUGACUGCAAGGCUUGAGUUCGGCAGAGGGGGGUGGAAUUCCACGUGUAGCAGUGAAAUGCGUAGAGAUGUGGAGGAACACCGAUGGCGAAGGCAGCCCCCUGGGUCGCGACUGACGCUCAUGCACGAAAGCGUGGGGAGCAAACAGGAUUAGAUACCCUGGUAGUCCACGCCCUAAACGAUGUCGACUAGGUGUUGGGGAAGGAGACUUCUUUAGUACCGUAGCUAACGCGUGAAGUCGACCGCCUGUGAGUACGGUCGCAAGAUUAAAACUCAAAGGAAUUGACGGGGACCCGCACAAGCGGUGGAUGAUGUGGAUUAAUUCGAUGCAACGCGAAAAACCUUACCUACCCUUGACAUGCCAGGAACCUUGCUGAGAGGUGAGGGUGCCCGAAAGGGAGCCUGGACACAGGUGCUGCAUGGCUGUCGUCAGCUCGUGUCGUGAGAUGUUGGGUUAAGUCCCGCAACGAGCGCAACCCUUGUCGCUAAUUGCCAUCAUUCAGUUGGGCACUUUAGCGAGACUGCCGGUGACAAACCGGAGGAAGGUGGGGAUGACGUCAAGUCCUCAUGGCCCUUAUGGGUAGGGCUUCACACGUCAUACAAUGGUCGGUACAGAGGGCUGCUAACCCGCGAGGGGGCGCUAAUCUCGCAAAGCCGAUCGUAGUCCGGAUUGCAGUCUGCAACUCGACUGCAUGAAGUCGGAGUCGCUAGUAAUCGUGGAUCAGCAUGUCACGGUGAAUACGUUCCCGGGUCUUGUACACACCGCCCGUCACACCAUGGGAGUGGGUUCCACCAGAAGUAGGUAGCUUAACCGCAAGGGGGGCGCUUACCACGGU
This 1376-nucleotide ribosomal RNA is filed under the name metagenome. RNAcentral describes it as "bacterial SSU rRNA". It matches the Rfam family "Bacterial small subunit ribosomal RNA", at positions 93 to 1463 of the family's 1533-position model. The record is from RNAcentral.